RNAcentral lists this ribosomal RNA (497 nucleotides) under uncultured bacterium. Its description in RNAcentral is "partial 16S ribosomal RNA". It matches the Rfam family "Bacterial small subunit ribosomal RNA", at positions 28 to 507 of the family's 1533-position model. The record is from RNAcentral.
GAUGAACGCUGGCGGCGUGCCUAAUACAUGCAAGUCGAGCGAACGGACGAGAAGCUUGCUUCUCUGAUGUUAGCGGCGGACGGGUGAGUAACACGUGGAUAACCUACCUAUAAGACUGGGAUAACUUCGGGAAACCGGAGCUAAUACCGGAUAAUAUUUUGAACCGCAUGGUUCAAAAGUGAAAGACGGUCUUGCUGUCACUUAUAGAUGGAUCCGCGCUGCAUUAGCUAGUUGGUAAGGUAACGGCUUACCAAGGCAACGAUGCAUAGCCGACCUGAGAGAGUGAUCGGCCACACUGGAACUGAGACGCGGUCCAGACUCCUACGGGAGGCAGCAGUAGGGAAUCUUCCGCAAUGGGCGAAAGCCUGACGGAGCAACGCCGCGUGAGUGAUGAAGGUCUUCGGAUCGUAAAACUCUGUUAUUAGGGAAGAACAUAUGUGUAAGUAACUGUGCACAUCUUGACGGUACCUAAUCAGAAAGCCACGGCUAACUACGUG